UAGUCUGGGUUUUGGAGGCUCUCAGCUUGCUACGAAUGUCGACAAAGACUGUGGGGCCAGCAGAGUACGAGGACUUGGUCAGCAAAUGUGCUUCAGAGAAAUCAGAACUCACCUCAGAGCACACAGCAGCCUCCAGUCAGCAUCCCAGGCAUUUACUUGUUACUUCCUGGGUCACAAAUUCGCUCAGCCACCAAGAUUUCCAGUGGAAAGCUAGCAGCCAUUGCCAACACAGAACACAGCAAACCAAGCGGGCAGGCAGCAAACCAGUCUGGAGAAAAAUGGUUUUAGAGGCAGUCUGACACACUUAGUAUUUGUCACCAUCACCAGAGGCCACUGGGGCUGCUGCCACCCACACGCGUCUCUCUCCACAAGAACCAUCCGUCUCUUAAGAGGACAGAAGCCCCAGGACGGUGCAGGAAGACACUGUUCCCUAUUUGUGAAUACUUUAUUAGAAAGCUUUACAACAAUACAGAAAUUAAAUCAUGUUUAGCAAGAAGUUGUCAGAUUGCUUUUAUUCAGAAUAACGUGACGUGAUGCAGACAGCACGGGCCAUGAGGCUGUCCUACUCCUAGCACCUCGGCUGUGCCCAAAGACACUGCCAAGCUGACAUCGUGUGCGGCAGUCAACUGGCCCAAAACGGGGCGUGACAGGCUCUUCCCAUCGGACAGCCGCUUCUAAGAUGCAGGUGGGCAUCCUGGGUGCCAUGGAGACCAGCCACCAGUGAGUGGGGUGAAGCCCGAGAGAGAGGCCAGGAAACCCAACCUCACAGCCAUGGCGACUGGGUGUAAAAAGCCACGCUGGGGAAAAAGCCAUGCGGUCUGGGGCAUCAUCACGACUAAUAUCGGCUAACUAGCUGGAGACUAUUGUUAGCCAUUACCCCACCACAGCCCGGGCUGACCUUGGGCGGGAGAGCAACAUUCAGACAUUUGUUGCGUCUGGAGCAACAGGCCAGGGUGUAAGGGGAGCCAGCGACCUUCCCAGGACGGCCAGGCUCGCCAGGGCUCCCGCAUGGGCUGCUCUGUCCCGCCAACCCGGCUGGUGCCCAUCAGGAGCCUGUCUAGCACCUCUGUUUUCUCCUCACUUGGUUCUGAUGAUUUCUCCCACCCUACCCCCACAUUUGCACACUCAGAUACAAACACAAGCCUGCCGACGCGGACCGACAUGGAACCAAACCGCAUCCAUAGGGUAAACGCACCAGACGGCAGCUAUCAGGCCACAGCCAGCCAAGCGCUCACCUGUCCGGUCGUCCACGGUCCCGGCCCGCCUUGAGGCUCGGGCUGCAGCCCUGGCUCCUGGACCCCAGAGACUGGCCUCGACCGUGCAGAGCUUCGGCGUGGGCACCAAGCGAUCCAACCCUGCGGCCGGGGUGCCGAGACGCACAGUUAGCACCUGCGACACAGCGCGACCCCGGCGCCGCGUCCCGCCUCAGGGCGCUCGCGGUUGGGAGGCCAGGACCCCUGCGUCAGCCGCGGUCAGCCCGGGACUGCGGACGUCGGGGCCCCGCGCGGUCCCGGCCGAGGCUGCGGACGCACAGGCACCAGCGGCGGCCCCAGACGGAGGGACCGAGGCGCCAGCCCUGCCCCGCUCCCCCGGCGCGCGGGUCCGCUGCCACCGCCCCCGGCUCCGAAAGGCCGCCGGGCCCGGCCCCCACUUGCCCAGAGUUUUCCGGCGCGCUCGACCCAGGGCCGCGGGGUAACCAGGCAGCGCUGAGCCUGCACCUCGUCGUCAGCCGACUGUCCCGCUGCUCAGGACCCAGGCCAGGCCGCCCCGCCGCGCCCGAGCCCACCCGGCCGCCCGUCGCGACCCCGGCUCUGGUCCAGGCCGCUGCACUGCCUACAGGGAGCCGUAGUUCGCGGACCUGGGCCAGUGGGCGGGGCGGGAGCUCCCAGGAGCGCCUGCGCAUAACGCAGGCAGCACCGCGCAAGGGGGCGGGGCGGGAGCUCCCAGGAGACCCCGCGCGUGUGACAUUCCCGGCGCAGACUCGAGUGUACGGUUGCGAUCGAACGGGUGGGCCUGGGCCGGCCGGGCCUGGGGCCUUCUGUGUCUGCGCGAUCGCCUCCUGGCAAAGAAGGCCACAUAGUGAGGAGAGGACGGUCCUCAGAAAGAGAGAGACUCGCGCCUGACGGUCAACUGGGCGAGCGGACACCGGGCACAGAAAGGGGCCGUGGGGAAGUCCCAGUAGAUGAAUAGCGUCCCACGUUCCAGCCAAGCACUCUCCCCCUGCAGCCUACACCAGCUGUUGCCUAGCCUGCCACACGGCUCUCAAAGAACCUUUUCUCUCUACUUUGCUGAAGUGAGUCCUCUAGCAGCCCCUGAGAAGGCAAUUGAACUCGGGUCCUUGCGCUUGCGCAGCAGGUGGCGAAACUGCUGAGCUAAAUCCCCGGCUCCAUCUUUUUUUUAAAUAAACAGGAGAAAAAUUUAUUUAUCAGUGUGUACUUGGGAGUCAUAAAAAAUAAGAAACGCAACUCAAGUGGCUGAAGGGCUGGAGUCGUUGUUUGACUGUAUGUGAAUGAUAUGGACAGUGGAAAGGCUCUGACCUGACCAAGGGCCCAAAGGGAGACAAAGAGGACUGCGAGGACCAGGCAACCUCAUGCAAGAACCAAGGGACCCUCUGGAGUCCCUGCCCCAGCCUGCAAUUCCCAGCUACACUGGACCUGCAGCUCUGCCUCAACGUGAGCCAGCACCAGCCUAGGAGGACCCAGUCCCUGACACUGCAGCUGCACCAGGAGAAAAAGACUGACUUUAUCCUUGGUUUGAGAGAAAAUUAAAAUGGAAACAAAGCUUUUGUACAUAGGGGAGGGGAUUGAGGGGGAAAAUGGGGUAAAAUAAAAUAAAAUUUAUUUUAAAAUAAAAAGAGAAGGUGCCAUAAAGAUGUUCAGAAUCUUCUGUUUCCCCAAAGACUGAAGAGGGUGUUCAAACCCUCUUCCCUUGAGGGAAGUUCCCUUGGGUGAGGAAAAAUUAGCUAAUUAAUACAUUUACUUUUGACUUCCAAUUUUUUAAAAUUAAUUUUAUUGGAAAAACUUAAUUUUAUUGGUACAAUUUAAAUAUACCUAACAGUCAGAUUUAUCAAAGAGAGUUUGCUCUUGUACAUGAUAUAUCUUUUCUUUUUUUUGAUACCGGGGAUUGAACUUGGGACCUUGCGCUUUCGAGGCAGGCAGUGGCACCACUGA
This 3170-nucleotide long non-coding RNA is filed under the name Heterocephalus glaber (naked mole-rat). RNAcentral's name for it is "lncRNA (ENSHGLG00000044738.1)". Lineage: Eukaryota; Metazoa; Chordata; Mammalia; Rodentia; Bathyergidae. The record is from RNAcentral.